GGGGGCAGCUCGCAGCUGAGUCACCUCUGUGCCAGAGUCAACAGUCUCCAGGGUGGGCCGGAAGUUGUUGUAGGCGUUCUCAAGGCCGAAUCUGCUCUCCCUCAGAUUCUGGUCUGUAGGGAGAGGCCGUGAUGAGUGAUGGGAGCCUUGGUAGGGGGAGGACUAGGGGGCAGAGGGGAUUUCCUCUGGCAAAAGGAAGAGUCAGCCCGGCAUCUGCCCUACGCCCUUUCCCACUGCCGACCACCCCUCCGACCCUGCAUCACUGGGCUGCGGCUGGGAAAAGUGAGACCCAGACGCUCCAUCUCAGCUUCCCCAUGUGGUGCUGUGCUCUGUGGUGGCCAAGACUGCCAUGUUGCCAUGCUGUGAUGCAGCAAGAAAGUCCUCACCAGAUGCAGCCCCUUGAUCUUGGACUUCCCAGCCUCCAGAACUGUAUGCCUUAUGUCACCCCUUGGAGAACCCAUGGAAAAUCAUUCACUGGUAACAAUUUCCAAGCUGGCACUCCCCAGACCUUUGUAGUCAAAAUGCUUAACAAAAAUUGCCUAUUUGCCUACAUUGCAGCCACUGGUCAUUAAAGAUGCCAGCUCCCUCUCCUGCUAAGCAGGUAAAGUUUGGUAGCUUUUUUCUCUGUGAGAGUAAUGACAUGGUAUCUCAUUAAAUGAAUUAAGUUGAGUCCUUUCUUGCCCAUUUACAGUGUUUACUGCUUCUACAUUCCACAUGUAUUUGGAUUUUUCUUUAAAAAGAUUAAGGUUAGGGACAAUGGCUCACACCUGUAAUCCCAGCACUUUGGGAGGCUGAGGCAGGAGGUUUGCUUGAGGCCAGGAGUUCAAGACCAGCCUGGAAAACAUAGCGAGACCCCCAUCUGUACAAACAUUUAAAAAUUAGCUGGGCAUGGUGGUGCACAUCUGUAGUCCCAGCUACUUGAGAGGCUGAGGCAGAAGGCUCACUUGAGCCCAGGAGGUCAAGGCUGCAGUGAGCUAUGAUUGUGCCACUGCACUCCAGCCUGGGCAACAGAGAAAGACGCUGUCUCUAAAAUAAAAUAGAUUAUUAUUUAAUUAAGGCAGCUGGUUUUUCAGGCAAACCUUUCACAUCGUGGCAUGCUUGGGGACACACAUUAGAAGGUUCUUCAAGGACAAGUCUGAAGACCAUCACCAAGCUUUGAAACUGUCUCCUCCUGCCACCUCCAGGACAUAUUUCUGCUUGUGACAAAAUCAGUCAAUGAAGUCCCCAGUGGCAGCUCCCCUGAAGAGGCAGUGGCAGUGUGGGGAGCCCCCACGGGGUGUGGAGG
RNAcentral lists this long non-coding RNA (1285 nucleotides) under Homo sapiens (human). RNAcentral's name for it is "PREDICTED lncRNA (TCONS_00245873)". Lineage: Eukaryota; Metazoa; Chordata; Mammalia; Primates; Hominidae. The record is from RNAcentral.